AACGAACGCUGGCGGCAUGCCUAACACAUGCAAGUCGAACGAGACCGUCGGGUCUAGUGGCGCACGGGUGCGUAACGCGUGGGAACCUGCCCUUAGGUUAGGAAUAACUCCCCGAAAGGGGUGCUAAUACCGGAUAAUGUCUUCGGACCAAAGAUUUAUCGCCUUUGGAUGGGCCCGCGUUGGAUUAGCUAGUUGGUAGGGUAAAAGCCUACCAAGGCGACGAUCCAUAGCUGGUCUGAGAGGAUGAUCAGCCACACUGGGACUGAGACACGGCCCAGACUCCUACGGGAGGCAGCAGUGGGGAAUAUUGGACAAUGGGCGAAAGCCUGAUCCAGCAAUGCCGCGUGAGUGAUGAAGGCCUUAGGGUUGUAAAGCUCUUUUACCCGGGAUGAUAAUGACGGUACCGGGAGAAUAAGCUCCGGCUAACUCCGUG
RNAcentral lists this ribosomal RNA (433 nucleotides) under uncultured bacterium. RNAcentral describes it as "partial 16S ribosomal RNA". It matches the Rfam family "Bacterial small subunit ribosomal RNA", at positions 29 to 507 of the family's 1533-position model. The record is from RNAcentral.